This 778-nucleotide ribosomal RNA is filed under the name uncultured marine eukaryote. Its description in RNAcentral is "SSU rRNA". It matches the Rfam family "Eukaryotic small subunit ribosomal RNA", at positions 161 to 938 of the family's 1831-position model. The record is from RNAcentral.
GAGCUAAUACAUGCGAACAAUCUCGACUCACGGAGAGAUGCUUUUAUUAGACUACAAACCAAACGGCUUCUGCCGUCUCACUGGUGACUCUGAAUAACUUUGGGCUGAUCGCAUUGCCUUGUGCAGGCGACAUUUCCUUCGAAGGUGUGCCCUAUCAACUGUCGACUGUGAUAUAGACGCUCACAGGGGUUUUGACGGGUAACGGGGAAUCAGGGUUCGAUUCCGGAGAGGGAGCCUUAAAAACGGCUACCACAUCUAAGGAAGGCAGCAGGCACGCAAAUUACCCAAUGAUCGAAGAUCGAGGUAGUGACGAAAAAUAACAAUACAAGUCUCUUCCGAGGCCUUGUAAUUGGAAUGAGUACAAUUUAAAACCUUUCCCGAGGAUCUAUUGGAGGGCAAGUCUGGUGCCAGCAGCCGCGGUAAUUCCAGCUCCAAUAGCGUAUAUUAAAGUUGUUGCGGUUAAAAAGCUCGUAGUUGGAUUUCAGCGGGUAGUGGUUGGUUUGAAUUGCUUCAACACUGACUUUUUUACCCGUGUGUUGGGUCAGAUUCAGGCGGGUGAUCUUAAACGGUUGUCCGUCCGAGCUGGCUAUUUUACUUUGAAAAAAUUAGAGUGCUCAAAGCAAGCUAGAUAGCUUGAAUAUUCGUGCAUGGAAUAAUGGAAUAGGAGGUCGCUUCUAUUUUGUUGGUUUUCGGAAGUCGACUUAAUGAUUAAUAGGGAUAGUCGGGGGCAUUUGUAUUUAAGUGACAGAGGUGAAAUUCUUGGACCACUUAAAGACAA